CUGUUGGGUAGGGGAGCGUUGUGUAAGUCGAUGAAGGUGUAUUGAGAAGUAUGCUGGAGAUAUCACAAGUGCGAAUGCUGACAUAAGUAACGAUAAAACGAGUGAAAAACUCGUUCGCCGGAAGACCAAGGGUUCCUGUCCAACGUUAAUCGGGGCAGGGUGAGUCGGCCCCUAAGGCGAGGCUGAAAAGCGUAGUCGAUGGGAAACGGGUUAAUAUUCCCGUACUUGGUAAAGCUGCGAUGUGGGGACGGAGAAGGUUAGGUUAGCAGACUGUUGGAUGUCUGUUUAAGUUGGUAGGUGGGGAGUUUAGGCAAAUCCGGACUUCCAUAACACUGAGAGAUGAUGACGAGUUUCUACGGAAAUGAAGUAACUGAUACCACGCUUCCAGGAAAAGCCACUAAGCGAAAGGCUUUACUAAACCGUACUGAAAACCGACACAGGUGGUCAGGUAGAGAAUACUCAGGCGCUUGAGAGAACUCGGGUGAAGGAACUAGGCAAAAUAGCACCGUAACUUCGGGAGAAGGUGCGCUGGCGUAGGUUGUAGGAGUAUACCUCCGAAGGCUGAACCAGUCGAAGAUACCAGCUGGCUGCAACUGUUUAUUAAAAACACAGCACUCUGCAAACACGAAAGUGGACGUAUAGGGUGUGAUGCCUGCCCGGUGCUGGAAGGUUAAUUGAUGGUGUUAUCGAAAGAGAAGCUCCUGAUCGAAGCCCCAGUAAACGGCGGCCGUAACUAUAACGGUCCUAAGGUAGCGAAAUUCCUUGUCGGGUAAGUUCCGACCUGCACGAAUGGCAUAAUGAUGGCCAGGCUGUCUCCACCCGAGACUCAGUGAAAUUGAAAUCGCCGUGAAGAUGCGGUGUACCCGCGGCUAGACGGAAAGACCCCGUGAACCUUUACUAUAGCUUGACACUGAACAUUGAAUUUUGAUGUGUAGGAUAGGUGGGAGACUAAGAAGCAGGCACGCCAGUGCUUGUGGAGUCGACCUUGAAAUACCACCCUUUAACGUUUGAUGUUCUAACGAAGAUUACGAAACGUGGUCUCGGACAGUGUCUGGUGGGUAGUUUGACUGGGGCGGUCUCCUCCCAAAGCGUAACGGAGGAGCACGAAGGUUUGCUAAUCACGGUCGGACAUCGUGAGGUUAGUGCAAUGGUAUAAGCAAGCUUAACUGCGAGACAGACAAGUCGAGCAGGUGCGAAAGCAGGUCAUAGUGAUCCGGUGGUUCUGAAUGGAAGGGCCAUCGCUCAACGGAUAAAAGGUACUCCGGGGAUAACAGGCUGAUACCGCCCAAGAGUUCAUAUCGACGGCGGUGUUUGGCACCUCGAUGUCGGCUCAUCACAUCCUGGGGCUGAAGUAGGUCCCAAGGGUAUGGCUGUUCGCCAUUUAAAGUGGUACGCGAGCUGGGUUUAGAACGUCGUGAGACAGUUCGGUCCCUAUCUGCCGUGGGCGUUGGAGAAUUGAGAGGGGCUGCUCCUAGUACGAGAGGACCGGAGUGGACGCAUCACUGGUGUACCAGUUGUCUCGCCAGAGGCAUUGCUGGGUAGCUAAAUGCGGAAGAGAUAAGUGCUGAAAGCAUCUAAGCACGAAACUCGCCUUAAGAUGAGUUCUCCCUAGCUAUAAGCUAGUAAGGGUUGUUG
RNAcentral lists this ribosomal RNA (1635 nucleotides) under Glaesserella parasuis. RNAcentral describes it as "partial 23S ribosomal RNA". It matches the Rfam family "Bacterial large subunit ribosomal RNA", at positions 1221 to 2840 of the family's 2925-position model. The record is from RNAcentral. Lineage: Bacteria; Pseudomonadati; Pseudomonadota; Gammaproteobacteria; Pasteurellales; Pasteurellaceae.